UUUUUUAAAAGAAUGUUCUAUGUGUUCAACAAAAGCUACAGGUUUGCUCUUGGGUUUCUGAUGGGGCAUUGCAUUUUGUUCCCUGUAUAUAUUACUCCCUAAAUUUGUUUAAAAUGUCAAGAAACUAUUUGGCGCUUGUUUUGCAGGGCUCAGCGGUGUUUUGGUACAAUCUCUUUCCCAGUGGAGAAGGUGACUACAGCACACGGCAUGCAGCCUGUCCAGUAUUAGUUGGAAACAAAUGGGUGUCUAACAAGUGGAUCCACGAACGCGGACAGGAAUUCCGACGAAGGUGUAACUUGUCUGAGAUGGAUUGAGGGCACACAGUGUUGGCAAAUCGACCCCUCUGUUCGUACCACCAACACUACAGCUCAGUCCUGUUUACGCUCCUAUAUUCCCCAGCACUCCUCAAGUCACCGACCUGACUUAAACAUCCUUUAGUUUUACAUGGAAGCCUGGGCAGAGAAGUUCACGUUUUAUAACCUUUUCCAUGGAUAGAUUUGAAUCGAGCUAGGCUGAGCUGGUUAAAUGACACAAAAUAUUUCUCUAAAUCAUGUGUUUUUUACCCUCUUAGUAUUCCCAUAUAUUACACGGCUCUUUUCUACCAAUUGAUUUUUAUGCAACAAUCAUGUUUUUGAAUUUAUACCUCUCAGCAAGCAAUGGAAGCGAUUAUUCCCCACCCAACUACGCCUUUCUUGGGCAUCUGUUUGCAGCGUGACACUUCUGGGAAUAAUUCUGAUAAAAGUGCUUAAUGGAACUGAGUACACUCUUCGAAUGUUAUUGAUGGAAGGGCAUUGCUUCAUGUCAGCCCAAUGAAUAAAGCAUUUUCCAGAAUGCAGUUACAUUAGUGUGCAUGGAAUAAUAGUUCUCUCAAAUCAUGUAAUCCAUACAUGAUGUUGACUUUAGAAAUACAUUAUCUUAAAUGCAAGAAAAUCAUCUGAAUCUUCCCUAAACUUGGUCAUUUUCUUGAACUAAUGUUAAAAAUCAGGAUUUUUUUUUUGAUUUACAGAUAUAAUUAAAGUAUAUCGUUGAUCCACUUUUUGUAAUAUAUUUGACCAUGGGUGGUGUAGACCAGAAAUACCGUUUAAUAGUGACACACUGUGCCUGAUGCACUCUGAAUGCAAUAUAGGGCACACAAUUCACUCCAACUUUUACUCCCUUCUUGAGAAUCACAAUCACAAGUGUCUCUCCUUUUAGCCAUUAACUACUAGAUCCAGCAUCCCUGUUGAAACAUUAUAGUUGUACCCCUAACAAUAAUCAUUCAUUAUUUCCAACACUCAAUUGGAUUUUUGGUAUCAAUUUGCUCAUCUUAGGCACCUUGGUAAUUGGCCAAAAAAAUAUGUUUGCUGUGUAUAUUGCUCAGAUAUGAUUUUUUAAAGUUUUUAAAUGUGUAUAUAUACAUUUCAUUUUUGCUCCAAAGUCUUGUUAAUUUACCCGGAUAAUCAUGUUUUAAAAGUAACAAUCAGUGGGUAAAAUUUUAACGUGUGCAAAAUGUCAAAAAUGAAUAUUUUUAAACUGUAAAGCUUUUGGAGUAAGAGAUAAAUGUGACAAAAUAACAUGAUAAUCACAUGCUCAAGAGGAUCUUUAUAAUUGGAAGUGCUUUUUCUGUGCCAUCAGUGGGAGAAUUGUGUAUUUAUAUAUCUUUAUUUUGAAAUAAAACCUGGUCUUUUCUGUUUUAAGAUACUAUUUCCUUUAAUGUUUCAUUAUGUACUCGGCUACAAGAGUAGUUUAACUCAAUGCCCCAUCAAUUGUUCAGAGGCAAGUGAUUGUCAGGAUGUGAGAUAUAAACCUAUUAGAUUAAGCAGUGAGCUACAAUCAAGCUUCAUUUCACUGAUAAUUUUAUAUUAAAAAAAAUAAUGGAAAGAAUCAAUGCAACUUUAUCUAGUUUAAAUAAUCUGACUUGACUUCAGCUCAUGCUUGGGAACCUGUUACUACUGGGGUGAGAGACAUCGAGUCGUGUUGCCUAAAUCUCACCCCUUUACCAGCAGAAGAACCAGUGGAUAAUGUCAAUCUGGCAUCAACACACUCCCUUGUCAAGAAAGUGCUGUAUGCUGGAGGAUUGAUACCUGCCAAGAGUUCUCUUGCCCACCUGCAAUAGUGCUGAUUAGUGCAAGAGUGGCCAAGUCACCUGUGCAAACAUGUAAUCUUUUAAUCAUUUUAUAAAAAUGGUUUAUCAUGCUCUCACUCCAGCACCUUUCACUUUGCACCAUUCACCCAGCUUGGGCUCCCCAGGGGAGUUUAUGAUGCAGUAGCUGUAUCAAUCCCAGUGAGUGGGAGUACUUGUUAGUAUUGGAACCUGCUCCCAUGCCAAUAGCCACGACGCAUCAAACCAGAACUUGACACACGAACCAUUGGAUUUAAUCAUACUUGUCAACUUCUCUACAUGAAUCAGAGACCACUAAGAUAUGCUGUGUUUUAAUGUUAUUUUAAUAACCAUUCCCUUCCCUUAAAUUACCAGUUUAAAGAUUAGGUUUUUUUCUGAACAUGCAAAUUUGCAGAUUUUCUUAUUAACCGAGUGUUGCUCCUACACAUCUGAGUUUAGUAUUUUGACUCUAAUUUUGUUUUCCUUUCUGUUCCAAAUGUAAACUUGAACAAGAAAAUAAAGUCUCACUGUGUAAGCAGUGAUAGUUUAUCCUUUUAAA
Molecule: long non-coding RNA, 2639 nt
Organism: Amblyraja radiata (thorny skate)
Lineage: Eukaryota; Metazoa; Chordata; Chondrichthyes; Rajiformes; Rajidae
Exons: 2
Source: RefSeq, a predicted model, not a curated record